GGCCGGUGGAUUGCUUGAGCCGAUAGCUGUCACCGUUCAUGGUCAGGAUAUGAACGUGGUGGGUCAGCCGGUCGAGCAGCGCACCGGUGAGCCGCUCGGAGCCAAGGACGGAAGUCCAGUUCUCGAACGGCAGGGUCGAGGGGGCGAUGGGGGGGGCGCGGGCGGCAGAGGGCACCUGGAACGGCAUUCCCGCGCCGGGCGGCGACAGGGCCAGGUAGCCGAGUUCAUCGACAAUGAGCAGCUUCACCGCCUGCAGUUCGCGCUGCAGCUUCAGCAGCC
Molecule: unclassified non-coding RNA, 279 nt
Filed under: Hevea brasiliensis (rubber tree)
Lineage: Eukaryota; Viridiplantae; Streptophyta; Magnoliopsida; Malpighiales; Euphorbiaceae
Source: RNAcentral